AAGGCUAUAGCUUAAUAAAAGUGUUUGAGUUGCAUUCAGAGGAUGUGUAUUAGGAUUACACUGGUCUUC
RNAcentral lists this transfer RNA (69 nucleotides) under Nephrurus levis. Its description in RNAcentral is "tRNA-Ala". Lineage: Eukaryota; Metazoa; Chordata; Lepidosauria; Squamata; Carphodactylidae. The record is from RNAcentral.